Molecule: long non-coding RNA, 404 nt
Organism: Solanum stenotomum
Lineage: Eukaryota; Viridiplantae; Streptophyta; Magnoliopsida; Solanales; Solanaceae
Exons: 2
Source: RefSeq, a predicted model, not a curated record
AGAGCUGAAUUUAUGACUAGUAUGCAAGCUCACUUUGGCGGUGUAAGGCAUAUUGUUGACUUCAGACCAGUUCAUGAAGCUAGGUUGGGUCUGCCCACCGAUAUUCUGGGUACUUGUCGUAGACUGAGGCAUGUGCGGCUGCUGUUGUUGAGUAUGGUGAUUACCACAUUGGACAAAUGACUGCGGUUGGGGAGGGAAAUGUGGACGCGCCCCCCUGCUUCCAUUUGCAGCUGACAUUUGACCAGCUGUUAUCUUUAGAUGCUGCAGUUCUUCUCGUAAAGCUUCAUUCAGAGCUGGAAAUUAUUCACACACAUAUGUCAAUACAAUAGAUAGCAGUGAAAAUUAUACUACUUAUUAAGUUAUUAUAAGACAUACCGUCUCUAAGAUGGGCUUGUUGUUCCAAA